RNAcentral lists this unclassified non-coding RNA (329 nucleotides) under Hevea brasiliensis (rubber tree). Lineage: Eukaryota; Viridiplantae; Streptophyta; Magnoliopsida; Malpighiales; Euphorbiaceae. The record is from RNAcentral.
GCGCCGCCUCGAAGAGAAUGAUGCUGGCGGACGACGUCCCAUGGCGGGCGUCUCCCGCCGGCAAGAAGCCCGUCCCCAGAAUUCACCACAACCCUGUCCUCCGCCUCCCUCAAAGCCCUAAUUCCUCCUACGCCCUCGCCGUUAUGAAGCAUCAGGAUCCGAUCGGUGAGGGGCUCGCCAUGGAGGCGAAGCUGGAGGCGGCGGGGCCGGACUGCAUUGUGCCCGGACAGGUUGCCCCGGUGAAGCUGCUCGGAUUGAAGGUAUGGCCUAUCGAUGUUAACUUUGGUUUUGUGGAACCCGUGGGCCGGCAACUGCAGUCUAUCGGAAAG